UUCAGAGGUCCCGAGCGUUGUUCGGAUUUACUGGGCGUAAAGGGAGCGUAGGCGGUUCGGUAUGUCGAAUGUGAAAGCCCACAACUCAACUGUGGAAAUGCAUUCGAAACUGCCGGGCUAGAGUACUGGAGAGGAGAGCGGAAUUCUUGGUGUAGCGGUGAAAUGCGUAGAUAUCAAGAGGAACACCGGUGGCGAAGGCGGCUCUCUGGACAGAUACUGACGCUGAGGCUCUAAAGUUAGGGGAGCAAACAGGAUUAGAUACCCCGGUAGU
RNAcentral lists this ribosomal RNA (271 nucleotides) under uncultured prokaryote. RNAcentral describes it as "partial 16S ribosomal RNA". It matches the Rfam family "Bacterial small subunit ribosomal RNA", at positions 524 to 794 of the family's 1533-position model. The record is from RNAcentral.